This 436-nucleotide long non-coding RNA is filed under the name Equus asinus (donkey). Its description in RNAcentral is "lncRNA (ENSEASG00005029039.1)". The record is from RNAcentral. Lineage: Eukaryota; Metazoa; Chordata; Mammalia; Perissodactyla; Equidae.
UUAAGAAGCAGGAAUACAACGUUCUUUGCUUUUAGCUUUACACUUUUCCAUGUGAGUACCAAAGCAGGCUUUCUUAUACCCCUAUGCCCCUCCAACUACUGAGGCUUUGUUACCUGACCUCUUCAUUUCUUUGGGUUACUUGCCCCCGGGAGAUGCGCCAUCCCUUCAUCCUGACACAUUUCUGAUUGGGGAAGAAAGCUAUGGAAGCAAGGAACCAAUGAGGCCACUGACGUGGUCCAGGCCAGAGAAAGCGGCAGCAAAAUUGAGAGAAGAAAGACAUUGGAUGAUGCUGAUUAAAAGAAAAGAAGAGAGGAGAGGGAAAGAAACAAGAUCCUUGAUAGCUUUGUUGAGCCGCUAAAUCAAACCAACACCGAAGUCCUCCAUUUCUCUGAACCUUCCACUUACAUGAGUCAAUAAAUCCUCUUUAUUGUUUAAG